CUUUAACAGAGCUACUGCAGACAGAACAAGGGAAACAGCUCUGCCAAUAGCUCCCAGUGUGUGUGUGUGUGUGUGUGUGUGUGUGUGUGUGUGUGUGUGUGUGUGUGUGUGUGUGUGUGUGUGUGUGUGUGUGUGUGUGUGUGUGUGUGUGUGUGUGUGUGUGUGUGUGUGUGUGUGUGUGUGUGUAAGCCCUAUGCAUGACUGCUAGUCUUCUGAGCGAGUAGACUGCCGUCUGGUCGUCAUGGUUGUGUUGGACUGAAUGGAGCCGCUCUCCAUUUCUACGGAAUUAUCAAUUGGCAUCCUCCAGCUGUCCUCUCGGUCGUCCCAAUAUGCCCCCUGCUGAGGCUGCUGACACAUGGAGACGAUGAGCUGGGACCCCUCCACACAGGAAGUGCACAAGGUUGCCCAGACAAGAGCGUCUAUCAACACACAGCGGGAAUUGAAAACGGGUUUCUUCAGAGCGAGAAAAUGAAAGAAAAAGAUGACUGGAGCUGGAGAGGCAGGCCAGGGAGGGAGAUCUGGGUUUGAUAUACUCACCACUCUCCUCCAAUCUCUGCUUAGUAUCAAAGUCUGAAAAGGAUGUCGGUGGGCGGAGCCAGGAGGGUCGUUAGCGAAACGGGACUCACCUGGGCUUGGGUGUGUCCCGGAGAUAAAUACACCUUUCCCCCAUACAUUGAAGAGACUCUCUCCACAUAGACACUGUUGUUUUUGGUUCUGGCGAUUUGGGGCUUCUUUGUGUUCAUUUGUUUUGGCACCUCUCAACACCCCUCAUUAUCACCAUCUAUGCGCACAACCACUCACACUACUGACUACACACUCCAUUUGUUACUUGGA
Molecule: long non-coding RNA, 834 nt
Filed under: Salmo salar (Atlantic salmon)
Lineage: Eukaryota; Metazoa; Chordata; Actinopteri; Salmoniformes; Salmonidae
Description: lncRNA (ENSSSAG00000089825.1)
Source: RNAcentral